CAAGUCGAGGGGCAGCAGGUCCGUAGCAAUACGGAUGCUGGCGACCGGCAAACGGGUGCGGAACACGUACAGAACCUUCCUUCGAGCGGGGAAUAGCCCGGAGAAAUCCGGAUUAAUACCCCAUAGUAUGGUGAAGAGGCAUCUCUUUACUAUUAAAGAUUUAUCACUUGAAGAUGGCUGUGCGGCUGAUUAGGUAGUUGGCGGGGUAACGGCCCACCAAGCCUGCGAACAGUAACUGGUGUGAGAGCACGACCAGUCACACGGGCACUGAGACACGGGCCCGACUCCUACGGGAGGCAGCAGUAAGGAAUAUUGGUCAAUGGACGAAAGUCUGAACCAGCCAUGCCGCGUGGAGGAUGAAGGUCCUCUGGAUUGUAAACUUCUUUUAUAUGGGACGAAAAAAGGCCUUUCCAGGUCGUCUGACGGUACCAUAUGAAUAAGCACCGGCUAACUCCGUGCCAGCAGCCGCGGUAAUACGGAGGGUGCAAGCGUUAUCCGGAUUCACUGGGUUUAAAGGGUGCGUAGGUGGGUUGAUAAGUCAGUGGUGAAAUCCCCGAGCUUAACUUGGGAACUGCCAUUGAUACUAUUGAUCUUGAAUACCGUGGAGGUCAGCGGAAUAUGUCAUGUAGCGGUGAAAUGCUUAGAUAUGACAUAGAACACCAAUUGCGAAGGCAGCUGGCUACGCGAAUAUUGACACUGAUGCACGAAAGCGUGGGGAUCAAACAGGAUUAGAUACCCUGGUAGUCCACGCCCUAAACUAUGGAUACUCGACAUCAGCGAUACACUGUUGGUGUCUGAGCGAAAGCAUUAAGUAUCCCACCUGGGAAGUACGAUCGCAAGAUU
This 843-nucleotide ribosomal RNA is filed under the name uncultured Sphingobacteriia bacterium. RNAcentral's name for it is "bacterial SSU rRNA". It matches the Rfam family "Bacterial small subunit ribosomal RNA", at positions 58 to 895 of the family's 1533-position model. Lineage: Bacteria; Pseudomonadati; Bacteroidota; Sphingobacteriia. The record is from RNAcentral.